This is a long non-coding RNA of Oncorhynchus masou masou (cherry salmon), 333 nucleotides long. RefSeq lists it as uncharacterized. The record is from RefSeq and is a predicted model, not a curated record. Lineage: Eukaryota; Metazoa; Chordata; Actinopteri; Salmoniformes; Salmonidae. The transcript is spliced from 3 exons.
GGGAUGGACAGGCUACAAGUCAUUAGAGUUUAGAUACAGUUAGUGAUCGACACAUGGAGAUGGAACGAACCUGUUUUCAACUCUUUCCAGGUGGAUCCGGUCCAGGUGAUGUGACCUAUGCUGACAUCAACCACACUGAUAAGAGACAACACAACAGGAGGAGAGAGAAGGUCGUUCCAGACCCUGUCUACUCAGCAGUGAAGACAGACAGAGAUUCAGGUCAGAAGGUUGUUCCAGACCCUGUCUACUCAGCAGUGAAGACAGACAGAGAGACAGGUCAGAAGGUCGCUCCAGACCCUGUCUACUCGGCAGUGAAGACAGACAGACAGAGAU